RNAcentral lists this ribosomal RNA (253 nucleotides) under uncultured bacterium. RNAcentral describes it as "partial 16S ribosomal RNA". It matches the Rfam family "Bacterial small subunit ribosomal RNA", at positions 524 to 776 of the family's 1533-position model. The record is from RNAcentral.
UACGAAGGGGGCUAGCGUUGUUCGGAAUCACUGGGCGUAAAGGGCGCGUAGGCGGCGCGACAAGUCAGGCGUGAAAGCCCCGGGCUCAACCCGGGAAUUGCGCUUGAUACUGUCGUGCUUGAGGCCGGGAGAGGAUGGCGGAAUUCCCAGUGUAGAGGUGAAAUUCGUAGAUAUUGGGAAGAACACCGGUGGCGAAGGCGGCUCUCUGGACCGAUACUGACGCUGAGGCGCGAAAGCGUGGGGAGCAAACAGG